CUACGGGUCGCUGCAGGCGAGAAAACUUUGCAAUGUGCGAAAGCACGACAAGGUUAAUCCGAGUGGUUUGUGCUAAACGAACCUUUUGACAGUCCUAGAAACACUGUUGAAUAAGGGGUGGGCAAGUUCUGGUGUCAGCCGCCGCGGUAAAACCAGCACCUCAAGUGGUCAGGAUGAUUAUUGGGCCUAAAGCAUCCGUAGCCGGCUCUGUAAGUUUUCGGUUAAAUCUGUACGCUCAACGUACAGGCUGCCGGGAAUACUGCAGAGCUAGGGAGUGGGAGAGGUAGACGGUACUCGGGAGGAAGGGGUAAAAUCCUUUGAUCUAUUGAUGACCACCUGUGGCGAAGGCGGUCUACCAGAACACGUCCGACGGUGAGGGAUGAAAGCUGGGGGAGCAAACCGGAUUAGAUACCCGCGUAGUC
This 422-nucleotide ribosomal RNA is filed under the name uncultured archaeon. RNAcentral describes it as "partial 16S ribosomal RNA". It matches the Rfam family "Archaeal small subunit ribosomal RNA", at positions 323 to 746 of the family's 1478-position model. The record is from RNAcentral.